UUAAGCGACUAAGCGUACACGGUGGAUGCCCUGGCAGUCAGAGGCGAUGAAGGACGUGCUAAUCUGCGAUAAGCGUCGGUAAGGUGAUAUGAACCGUUAUAACCGGCGAUUUCCGAAUGGGGAAACCCAGUGUGUUUCGACACACUAUCAUUAACUGAAUCCAUAGGUUAAUGAGGCGAACCGGGGGAACUGAAACAUCUAAGUACCCCGAGGAAAAGAAAUCAACCGAGAUUCCCCCAGUAGCGGCGAGCGAACGGGGAGCAGCCCAGAGCCUGAAUCAGUGUGUGUGUUAGUGGAAGCGUCUGGAAAGGCGCGCGAUACAGGGUGACAGCCCCGUACACAAAAUGCAUGCUGUGAGCUCGAUGAGUAGGGCGGGACACGUGGUAUCCUGUCUGAAUAUGGGGGGACCAUCCUCCAAGGCUAAAUACUCCUGACUGACCGAUAGUGAACCAGUACCGUGAGGGAAAGGCGAAAAGAACCCCGGCGAGGGGAGUGAAAAAGAACCUGAAACCGUGUACGUACAAGCAGUGGGAGCACGCUUAGGCGUGUGACUGCGUACCUUUUGUAUAAUGGGUCAGCGACUUAUAUUCUGUAGCAAGGUUAACCGAAUAGGGGAGCCGAAGGGAAACCGAGUCUUAACUGGGCGUUAAGUUGCAGGGUAUAGACCCGAAACCCGGUGAUCUAGCCAUGGGCAGGUUGAAGGUUGGGUAACACUAACUGGAGGACCGAACCGACUAAUGUUGAAAAAUUAGCGGAUGACUUGUGGCUGGGGGUGAAAGGCCAAUCAAACCGGGAGAUAGCUGGUUCUCCCCGAAAGCUAUUUAGGUAGCGCCUCGUGAAUUCAUCUCCGGGGGUAGAGCACUGUUUCGGCAAGGGGGUCAUCCCGACUUACCAACCCGAUGCAAACUGCGAAUACCGGAGAAUGUUAUCACGGGAGACACACGGCGGGUGCUAACGUCCGUCGUGAAGAGGGAAACAACCCAGACCGCCAGCUAAGGUCCCAAAGUCAUGGUUAAGUGGGAAACGAUGUGGGAAGGCCCAGACAGCCAGGAUGUUGGCUUAGAAGCAGCCAUCAUUUAAAGAAAGCGUAAUAGCUCACUGGUCGAGUCGGCCUGCGCGGAAGAUGUAACGGGGCUAAACCAUGCACCGAAGCUGCGGCAGCGACGCUUAUGCGUUGUUGGGUAGGGGAGCGUUCUGUAAGCCUGUGAAGGUGUGCUGUGAGGCAUGCUGGAGGUAUCAGAAGUGCGAAUGCUGACAUAAGUAACGAUAAAGCGGGUGAAAAGCCCGCUCGCCGGAAGACCAAGGGUUCCUGUCCAACGUUAAUCGGGGCAGGGUGAGUCGACCCCUAAGGCGAGGCCGAAAGGCGUAGUCGAUGGGAAACAGGUUAAUAUUCCUGUACUUGGUGUUACUGCGAAGGGGGGACGGAGAAGGCUAUGUUGGCCGGGCGACGGUUGUCCCGGUUUAAGCGUGUAGGCUGGUUUUCCAGGCAAAUCCGGAAAAUCAAGGCUGAGGCGUGAUGACGAGGCACUACGGUGCUGAAGCAACAAAUGCCCUGCUUCCAGGAAAAGCCUCUAAGCAUCAGGUAACAUCAAAUCGUACCCCAAACCGACACAGGUGGUCAGGUAGAGAAUACCAAGGCGCUUGAGAGAACUCGGGUGAAGGAACUAGGCAAAAUGGUGCCGUAACUUCGGGAGAAGGCACGCUGAUAUGUAGGUGAGGUCCCUCGCGGAUGGAGCUGAAAUCAGUCGAAGAUACCAGCUGGCUGCAACUGUUUAUUAAAAACACAGCACUGUGCAAACACGAAAGUGGACGUAUACGGUGUGACGCCUGCCCGGUGCCGGAAGGUUAAUUGAUGGGGUUAGCGCAAGCGAAGCUCUUGAUCGAAGCCCCGGUAAACGGCGGCCGUAACUAUAACGGUCCUAAGGUAGCGAAAUUCCUUGUCGGGUAAGUUCCGACCUGCACGAAUGGCGUAAUGAUGGCCAGGCUGUCUCCACCCGAGACUCAGUGAAAUUGAACUCGCUGUGAAGAUGCAGUGUACCCGCGGCAAGACGGAAAGACCCCGUGAACCUUUACUAUAGCUUGACACUGAACAUUGAGCCUUGAUGUGUAGGAUAGGUGGGAGGCUUAGAAGUGUGGACGCCAGUCUGCAUGGAGCCGACCUUGAAAUACCACCCUUUAAUGUUUGAUGUUCUAACGUUGACCCGUAAUCCGGGUUGCGGACAGUGUCUGGUGGGUAGUUUGACUGGGGCGGUCUCCUCCUAAAGAGUAACGGAGGAGCACGAAGGUUGGCUAAUCCUGGUCGGACAUCAGGAGGUUAGUGCAAUGGCAUAAGCCAGCUUGACUGCGAGCGUGACGGCGCGAGCAGGUGCGAAAGCAGGUCAUAGUGAUCCGGUGGUUCUGAAUGGAAGGGCCAUCGCUCAACGGAUAAAAGGUACUCCGGGGAUAACAGGCUGAUACCGCCCAAGAGUUCAUAUCGACGGCGGUGUUUGGCACCUCGAUGUCGGCUCAUCACAUCCUGGGGCUGAAGUAGGUCCCAAGGGUAUGGCUGUUCGCCAUUUAAAGUGGUACGCGAGCUGGGUUUAGAACGUCGUGAGACAGUUCGGUCCCUAUCUGCCGUGGGCGCUGGAGAACUGAGGGGGGCUGCUCCUAGUACGAGAGGACCGGAGUGGACGCAUCACUGGUGUUCGGGUUGUCAUGCCAAUGGCACUGCCCGGUAGCUAAAUGCGGAAGAGAUAAGUGCUGAAAGCAUCUAAGCACGAAACUUGCCCCGAGAUGAGUUCUCCCUGACCCUUUAAGGGUCCUGAAGGAACGUUGAAGACGACGACGUUGAUAGGCCGGGUGUGUAAGCGCAGCGAUGCGUUGAGCUAACCGGUACUAAUGAACCGUGAGGCUUAACCU
RNAcentral lists this ribosomal RNA (2898 nucleotides) under Escherichia coli. RNAcentral's name for it is "23S ribosomal RNA". It matches the Rfam family "Bacterial large subunit ribosomal RNA". The record is from RNAcentral. Lineage: Bacteria; Pseudomonadati; Pseudomonadota; Gammaproteobacteria; Enterobacterales; Enterobacteriaceae.